This is a long non-coding RNA of Rhagoletis zephyria (snowberry fruit fly), 133 nucleotides long. RefSeq lists it as uncharacterized. The record is from RefSeq and is a predicted model, not a curated record. NCBI's taxonomy places the organism in Eukaryota, Metazoa, Arthropoda, Insecta, Diptera, Tephritidae.
UAACCGGUAAAUUUGGUUACCAUCUCAUAAGCUGGAAAUUCCACAAAUCAUAGCUGAGUUGCUGAAUAUUUGCACUGCAUUACCAACGUACCUAGAAUCGCGGUGACAAGAAGUGGUAAAAUUUUUUGGUAAU